RNAcentral lists this ribosomal RNA (510 nucleotides) under uncultured bacterium. RNAcentral's name for it is "bacterial SSU rRNA". It matches the Rfam family "Bacterial small subunit ribosomal RNA", at positions 46 to 558 of the family's 1533-position model. The record is from RNAcentral.
GCCUAACACAUGCAAGUCGAACGAGAAAGUGAAGCUUGCUUCACGAGUAAAGUGGCAAACGGGUGAGUAACACGUGAACAACCUACCCUCGAGUGGGGAAUAACACCGCGAAAGCGGUGCUAAUACCGCAUAAUAUCUCUGAAUCGCCUGGUUUUGAGAUCAAAAGCUUCGGUUGCUUGAGGAGGGGUUCGCGCCUGAUUAGCUUGUUGGUGAGGUAACGGCUCACCAAGGCUGCGAUCAGUAGCCGGCCUGAGAGGGUGAACGGCCACACUGGAACUGAGACACGGUCCAGACUCCUACGGGAGGCAGCAGUGGGGAAUUUUGCGCAAUGGGCGAAAGCCUGACGCAGCAACGCCGCGUGGAGGAUGAAGGCCCUCGGGUCGUAAACUCCUGUCAGUGGGGAAGAAUGCUUCGGUUUGACUGUACCCGCUGAGUGAAGCCACGGCUAACUCCGUGCCAGCAGCCGCGGUAAAUACGGAGGUGGCAAGCGUUGCUUCGGACAUUACUGGG